UCUCCGUUGGUGAACCAGCGGAGGGAUCAUUACAGGACUCGCAAGACUCCUUCACCCUGUGAACCUCACUACAAGCACGUUGCUUCGGCGGGUGUCCCGGCGGGGGUUUUCCCUCGCCGGGGCGCACAGCCCGCCGGCAGCCUACUAUACUCUGUCUCUUUGCGUUGGCAUCUCGAGAAAAAACAAACAAGUUAAAACUUUCAACAACGGAUCUCUUGGUUCCG
Molecule: unclassified non-coding RNA, 224 nt
Filed under: plant metagenome
Description: partial contains small subunit ribosomal RNA, internal transcribed spacer 1, and 5.8S ribosomal RNA
Source: RNAcentral